UCUUAAGGUGCGUAUCCACUUGUUGCGUAUCCUCAUGUAUCAUUUUUCUCAACCGUAUCAAUGGAAUGAACAAGCGUUGAGUAUCAAAAUGUGAUAUGAAGAUACGUCAAUGAAACCGAUGGGUCAUUUGUCGGUUUUUCAUCGUCAUAUCAAAAGAAUCUUUUAGAAUCAUACAAUUGAGUGAAACUUUACUUCACGCGAAAGGUCAUAUCCUUUGUUUUCAUACGAAAUGCAAUGAUAGUAUGUAAUGACGAGGGUACAUAACAAGUGGAUACGCACCUUUGCGAUGUACAUUUUUUGAAAACCUAUUAAAUUUUGUUUCCGAUAAUUGAAAAACCAUAAUUAAAAGGAAGGUAAUGUCGAAGAUGAUGAAGGUAAUGAUUAAUAGUUAUUAAAAAUAAAAUGACUUCAUUACAAAAUAUAUACAUUCCGUUCAGUAAACUGAAAAUCAAAUACAACAGUCGAAUUUAACCGUUCGAACAAAAUUGUUUAAGAGAAACUCUAUAAUGGACUACGUGAAAUAAAUUAUUUAAAAAAA
Long non-coding RNA from Vespa mandarinia (Asian giant hornet), 538 nucleotides. Lineage: Eukaryota; Metazoa; Arthropoda; Insecta; Hymenoptera; Vespidae. The record is from RefSeq and is a predicted model, not a curated record.